RNAcentral lists this ribosomal RNA (684 nucleotides) under Faecalibacterium prausnitzii. RNAcentral describes it as "bacterial SSU rRNA". It matches the Rfam family "Bacterial small subunit ribosomal RNA", at positions 440 to 1150 of the family's 1533-position model. The record is from RNAcentral. Lineage: Bacteria; Bacillati; Bacillota; Clostridia; Eubacteriales; Oscillospiraceae.
UGAGGAAGAUAAUGACGGUACUCAACAAGGAAGUGACGGCUAACUACGUGCCAGCAGCCGCGGUAAAACGUAGGUCACAAGCGUUGUCCGGAAUUACUGGGUGUAAAGGGAGCGCAGGCGGGAGAUCAAGUUGGAAGUGAAAUCCAUGGGCUCAACCCAUGAACUGCUUUCAAAACUGGUUUUCUUGAGUAGUGCAGAGGUAGGCGGAAUUCCCGGUGUAGCGGUGGAAUGCGUAGAUAUCGGGAGGAACACCAGUGGCGAAGGCGGCCUACUGGGCACCAACUGACGCUGAGGCUCGAAAGUGUGGGUAGCAAACAGGAUUAGAUACCCUGGUAGUCCACACCGUAAACGAUGAUUACUAGGUGUUGGARGAUUGACCCYUUCAGUGCCGCAGUUAACACAAUAAGUAAUCCACCUGGGGAGUACGACCGCAAGGUUGAAACUCAAAGGAAUUGACGGGGGCCCGCACAAGCAGUGGAGUAUGUGGUUUAAUUCGACGCAACGCGAAGAACCUUACCAAGUCUUGACAUCCCUUGACGAUGCUGGAAACAGUAUUUCUCUUCGGAGCAAGGAGACAGGUGGUGCAUGGUUGUCGUCAGCUCGUGUCGUGAGAUGUUGGGUUAAGUCCCGCAACGAGCGCAACCCUUAUGGUCAGUUACUACGCAAGAGGACUCUGGCCGGACU